AAAAGAGAGGACAGCAUCACGGCUCGAGUCCUAGAGGUCCUAGUUCCUCAUGAAGCAGGAGAAAAUCUGCAUGGCUUGGCUCCCAUCUUAGCACCCUGGGAGACUCGUGGCUGGCGUAACCAGACUCAUUUUAGCAAAGAACAAGCAGGGUAGCUCACUGAGGUGCUGGCCACACUUAAGAAUCAGAUAAGCCUUACAGAAGGUCCCCAUUACCCUCAGCUCCUCCAUUCCACAGAUCCUGGCCCCGGACUGUAGGCAGCUUCACCACCUCCUACUGCAGGAGGGCACAGAUGCCACUCCCAGCUGCACAGGCUCUGCCAUGCGGGUGAUAAGGCUGGCCCUGUCACAUCUUGGGGGGGUGUGGGCUUGCUUUUGCAGCUGCCCCAGCCACAGAGAAAGCCACGGAGAAAGAGGUCAGGCCAGGACGCCGUGGCUGGUGGCCGGGGCCAGCAGGCUGCCCAGUGAAUCCUGACUUUGGAUUGAUGGUAUAAAGCUGCCUUGUGCCGGAUCUCAGCCCCGAUCUCAGAAGCAGCAAUGGGGAACUGACCUCUCCUGGGGCAAAGCGAGUGCUAACCUGGCGGCUGGUGGGAGGCGGAUGCUGUGAGUUCCCAGUUCUUGGCUGUUGUCUGAGAGGGGGUGCCGUGGGAGGACUCAUGACUGCUUAUCUCUGUGGUUCCUGUGGAAGGUGAUUUUGAAGGCAUCAGCUGGGAGCCCGGGACAAUAGCUGCUGUUGUGGCCGCUGUGUUGUUUGAGCUGGGAGAUGAAGCUGCGGGCUCUGUAGGAGAGUCCAAGGCAGGGACAACAUCAGUGUGCAGACUCCCCUCCUCUCAGCUGCAGCACGGGGUGAUGUGGGAGCUGCCAUAGUGAGUCACCCUGACCAGCCCUCCCUCUCUCACAGCCAACUGCUCCUUGAGAGGGUGACAUAGCCGUUCCUCUGGAAGGGCCAUAGGACCUGUGAAAACACUAAAGAACAUGGCUACUAUCACGGCACGUAUAAAGAAAAGAUCAGCCAGACACAGUGGGUCAUGCCUAUAAUCCCAACACUUUGGGAGGCUGAGGUGUGAGGAUCACUUGAGCCCAGGAGUUUAAGACCAGCCUGGGCAACACAGCAAGACCCUGUUUCUUUUCCUUCUUUUUUUGAGAUGGAAUCUUGCUCUGUUGCCAAGGUUGGAGUGCAGUGGCGCGAUCUCAGCUCACUGCAACCUCUGCCUUCCGGGUUCAGGCAAUUCUCCCUGCCUCAGCCUCCCAAGUAGCUGGAAUUACAGGUGUCCACCACCACGCCCAGCUAAUUUUUGUAUUUUUAAUAGAGAUGGGGUUUCACCACGUUGGCCAGGCCGGUCUCAAACUCCUGACCUUAGGUGAUCCACCCACCUUGGCCUCCCAAAGUGCUGGGAUUACGGGCGAGAGCCACUGUGCCCUGCCGCAAGACCCUGUUUCUACAAAAAUAAGAAUAACGAUAAAUUAUCCAGGUGUGGUGGGCAUGUGCCUAUAGUUCCAGCUAUCUGAGAGGCUGAGGCAAGAGAAUCACCUUAGCCUAGGAGUUUGAGGCUGCAGUGACCUAUAAUUGAGCCAUUGCACUCUAGCCUGGGGGACAGAGUGAGACCCCUGUCUCUUAAAAAAAAAGGUGGGGGGAAGAAAAGAAAAGGUGUCAAAGAUCUGAGUCGUUCAGCUUGUUUACUAGAGAAGGCAGGCCCAACGCUGGAGGCUCAGCUGAGAGCAGGUGAAGCUGCGCUGGCCGAGGACGCUCGGAGCGGCUGCGUGUGAAACACGGGAAGCCUGGGCUCUGGCCUGAACUCUCCGGGCUGUGUGGGAGGAAAGCGUCCUGAUGAGCUUGCUCUCAGGAACAGAGGCUGCCUUGUGUUCAGCGUCUUCCCUGUCUUCCUUGUCCUUCCCUGGAAGGUGGCUGCCCCUGCACUGUAAGGGUGUGGCGUAACUGUGCUGUUCCCUCUCCAUGAAAAAUGUGUCUUCCAUUGUGACAGCCACGGAAUCUAGGAAACGUGAGGCCAAGCGCUGUGGCUCUCUGGACGCACUGUUGUUGCCGCGUUCCCAUGGUCUCCCAGCCACACAGGUCAUGAGAAGGCCUCACGCCCCUUAAUCCUGUGUCACCACCUUUCAUAUAACUUGCCCUACGCUCACUGCCAAUGCUCCAGGGCUCCCUGCACAGGACGCACCAAGGCAUCCUCAGCCAAGUGCCCACGGUCGUGCCAGCUCGGGUCAAAGGCUGCUGUCACAUCGGGGCUUCUGACUGCACCAUUGUGUCUCGACAAUGGCCAUCGGACCAGGGUCUUGCUCCGUUGCCCAGGUUGGAGUGCAGUAGUGUGAUCACAACUCACUGCAGCCUUGACCUCCCGGGCUCAAGAGAUCCUCCUGCCUCAGUCUCCUGAGUAGCUGGGACUACAUGUACGUGCCUCAAUGCCCAGUUUUAGGACUCGAGAAGACAUCUGGCCUCUUCUGUCUCCUGCAUUGACACCGCCUGUGUUCAGGAUUUCAUCACCACCCACCAGAACGAUUUCAAAAACCUCAAUGCAGCUCCUAUUCUCUGGAGUCUCCUGACUACAGUUCAUUCUUCACACUCUGAACAAGAGCAACCUUUCCACCAUGCAGCUCCAGUAAUGCUCCCCUGCACAGAAACCCUCAGGGACUCCCCACUGCACAGAAGGGAAUCAUGCCUUUCCAAGAAGAAGCAUUCAAAUCACAUCAACUAUGUCCAAUGAGCAACACUGAUAUGACUCCCACGAUAUAUACUGAGGAGUUUCAUAUAUAUUUAUUCAUUUAGAUACAUAUUAUUAUUACUGUUAUUAUUUUUAUUGUUAUUUUUGAGACAGAGUCUCGCUUUGUCGCCCAGGCUGGAAUGCAGUGGACAAGUGUUUGUGAGUUGGACAAGCUUUCGUAAAGUCAUGAAAACAUUGCCAGACAAGAUCAGCUAUAAUUAAAGAUGAAUUAGAAAAAACUCCAAAAUUCUGGAUCUUAAUUGUGCUAUUUCUUUUGUAAUUUUAUUUAUUUACUUUUCUUAUUACAAAACAAUUCAAAUUAUGGCAGAAAAAUAAGAAAGGGCAGACAACUGCAUACAUGCCCACAUAUGACCAACACAUGACAUCUUCCCCAUUCAAUGACAACUACUUCUUGAUCUUCUUCUAGUAAAAAAAUGAAUCAUAUGAUGUCUACUACUUGAAAACAACUCCAUUUUAUUUACUCAGUCCUCCGCUGUUUAAAAUUUAUGUUGAUUUUGACAAAUCUCAUGUUUUAUACACUCACGUUUUCACCACUUUUUUGCUAUCAGUAGAGGCAAAGAAGCAGUAACAACUAGAUAAAAUGGAUAGGAAAUAAAAAAUAAAAGGUUUGGGAAAAGACCCCUAAAGUUCUGAAAAAUGGCUUAAAAAUACUUAAAGACACAUGAAAAGUUGUGAAAACAACCCCAAGUGCACUUACACCUUACAUAAAAAAAGCGAACUGAAAUUGGUGGCUAGGGAUAUUUGUCUUCAAACAAAGCAGUCUUCUCAGUUGCUUCUGGCCAUCGCCCGCAAUCUUUCAGACUGAAAUGCUCUCUAAGAAGUCAGUGACCUUCUACCCAACAUAAUGGACGCCCCUGCACAUCAGGCCUUUUAAAUAAGAACAGACUGGCAACAACUUGUUGUGCAUAGUAGCACAAGAAGGAGACUUUGCACCUUAGUGAUAUUGAUUUGUCCAACCCAUGAACAUGGUAUAUCUCUCCAUUGAUUUUGUUCCUUAAUUUCUCUAAGCAAUGCUUUGUAGUUUUCCAUAUAUGAAAGAUGUCUUUCACAUCUUUUGUUAGAUUUAUCCGUAAGUAUCUAAUGCUUUUUAAUGUUAUUUCAAAUGACUUUUUAAAGUUUUUUAAUUUCUAAUUGUUCAUUGUGAAUGUAUAGAAAUAGAACUGAUUUUUGUGUAGUGGUGUUUUGUAUACUGCAACCAACUUAGACACAUAUGGCUGACUGAUGUUCAAAAGGUAUAAGAGAAGGUCAGUGAAGAUAAUCUUUUCAAUAAAGGGUGCUGGAAUAAUUGGAUAUGCAUAUAUAGAAACAAACAAAAUCCCAAAACAACCUUUAAUUCAUGCCUCACAUUAUAAACAAAAAUUAAUUCAAAAUGGAUCACAGCCAUAAAUGUAAACCCUAAAGCUAUAAAACUUCUAGAGGAACACAUAGAAGUAAACCUUUGUAACCUUAGGCUAGGCAAAUAUUUCUUAGAUAUGACACCAAAAGCCCAAAACACAACAUAACAAAUUAAUAAAUUAGACUUCAUAAAAAUUAAAAACUUCUGCUUUUCAAAAGACACUGCUAAGAGAAAGGAUAAGCCACAGAAUCUGAGAAAAUAUUUGCAAAUCAUAUACCUGAUUAGGGCCUCGUAUCCAGAAUAUAUAAAGAACUCUCAAAAUUCAGUAAUGAUACAAUUCAAUUUUUUAUACAUAAGACAGAGUCAGAAAAAAAAAAAAAGACAGUCUCGCUCUGUGUCCCAGGCUGGAGUGCAGUGGCGCGA
RNAcentral lists this long non-coding RNA (4491 nucleotides) under Homo sapiens (human). RNAcentral's name for it is "HSALNT0356098". Lineage: Eukaryota; Metazoa; Chordata; Mammalia; Primates; Hominidae. The record is from RNAcentral.